UACGUAGGUGGCAAGCGUUAUCCGGAAUUAUUGGGCGUAAAGCGCGCGCAGGUGGUUUCUUAAGUCUGAUGUGAAAGCCCACGGCUCAACCGUGGAGGGUCAUUGGAAACUGGGAGACUUGAGUGCAGAAGAGGAUCGCGGAAUUCCCGGUGUAGAGGUGAAAUUCGUAGAUAUCGGGAGGAACACCAGUGGCGAAGGCGGCGAUCUGGGAAGAUACUGACGCUGAGGUGCGAAAGCGUGGGGAGCAAACAGG
This 253-nucleotide ribosomal RNA is filed under the name uncultured bacterium. RNAcentral describes it as "partial 16S ribosomal RNA". It matches the Rfam family "Bacterial small subunit ribosomal RNA", at positions 524 to 776 of the family's 1533-position model. The record is from RNAcentral.